CUUAUGGGGAGGGCUGUGACAGAGAAUCUCCUUCAGAAACUGCUCCAGCUUGCAGCUAGUUUGGGGUUUUCCAAACCCGACUCCCCUCUGCUGGAGGGUGGCAACAGUCUUCUCAUUUCCAGCCUCAGCUGAUCCCUGUUAGGAUUCCAGAGGAGGCCUGGUCCACAGCAUUAAAAUGUCUCAAUAGCUCCUGGAAAUACGUGGCUUGGUACGUCAGCUGAGCAUCACCUGACAAUGCCAAGAGGAGGAUGCCCCUGUGGACUCUAAAAAGGGAAAAAUGACUCUUUGAUAAGGAAGCCACAAGAGCGGUCAUGCAACCUUCCCCAGCAGUAUGUUUUGGUGUCCAGGGCAACCGACAGAGAGGUAUCCUUGCGGGGGUGGAGAGGCCAGCUGAAGACCAAAUGAUGGGGGGGGGUCUCCCAGGGGUUUCCUGUCAUGUGCUGCAGUUGGUUCGUGAAUUGGAAGUCAAAUAUAGUGCGAGUUCAAAACACCCAAUUGACUCUGCUUUAAAAGGAGGCACUCAGCACUUCAAAUUGGGUCCCUAGUGAAUGGACACAAGUUGAUGAACAUCAUCAUCAUCUUACAUCUUUUGAUCACAUACCAUGGUAUCAGUGCGUCCAAUGACUUCAAAGGAAUAGUCCACACCACUGC
Dermochelys coriacea (leatherback sea turtle) is the source of this 651-nucleotide long non-coding RNA. RefSeq lists it as uncharacterized. NCBI's taxonomy places the organism in Eukaryota, Metazoa, Chordata, Testudines, Dermochelyidae. The record is from RefSeq and is a predicted model, not a curated record. The transcript has 5 exons.